GACAAUUGAUAGCAGCCAUUAGCGAAUGAUUAGGCAGACAGUGAUAAACUAUAUUUCAUCGAUUUGCCCCAGCUACAUUUCCGACUUCUGCAGAGGGUAUGAAUAAAUUCACCUCUAAAUCUGUAAUGCAUGACUUUAUAUUCAUAAUUUCCACAAGACGGGCUGCCGGGCUCCGGGCUUUCUCUCAUGUGUGGAAUGAGCUGGCAGCUUGUCAAUGUCGUACAUUCUUAGUGUGUGUUUGGUGCCAAAUCAUAAAUGGCUGUUUUUCAUCCAAAUAUGGCCGGUCUUGGGUCUUGGGCCUUCUAAUGAGAGAGAGAGAGAGAUUUUUUAAAGGGAUAUGUCCUCCCCUGCUCUUCAUCCGUAUGCAUGUGGGGUGGUGUGUGAUGGUCCAUUCAUUUCAAAGCUUUUUUUUUUAUUUUUCCUUUUUUCUUCAUUACUCCCCAUUAGUGGCUGUGUGUUGUCACUCGAGCCAUCUGUGGCGUUUCUAAUCUGUUUGUUUAGCAUUGCACAUGUCCCCUUACGUGUUGUUUUGGAGAUCCAUGUGUUGCAUGCAUAAAUAUGAAGACAAAAGAAGAACUGUUCUAAUAGCCAAACGCCUAGUAGAGGCCAUCGCCCAUCCCCCACCUCUCCUAUCAAGACUCAUUACAUGGACAUUUUAUAUGGAUCGAGUAUGGAUUGUUGUGCUGAAUUCUGUAAGUGGUGUUACUGAAAAUAAAAAUGCACAUCAGCAGUAGAGUAAGUGCUAUAUUGGCCUCGAAAUAAGCACUUGUUUUUGCUCCACAUGGAGUAAACACCAAAAUGCAUUAACUUGAGGGUGCCUGCCUGCAUGGGGAAGAGAGUCUCACAACAGUGUCCAUGUUCCUGGGCCAUAUGGAACCUUGUAAUCAAAUAGACCGUGACCUUGGAGGUGAGAGGCGCAAACUUAAUUUUGCCGCUCGCGGUGCUGCCCCCUGGCCUUUGACCUUCCAACCCAACACACUUUGGAUUCAUUUAUUUAAUUUGCACGGGCCAGACAAAAGGGGUCUUUCAGUUCACCCAUCAAAGAAUCUUCUGGAACAUGGGAGGGAGGAAAGGGGUGGGGG
Molecule: long non-coding RNA, 1082 nt
Organism: Clupea harengus (Atlantic herring)
Lineage: Eukaryota; Metazoa; Chordata; Actinopteri; Clupeiformes; Clupeidae
Source: Ensembl